This 253-nucleotide ribosomal RNA is filed under the name uncultured bacterium. RNAcentral describes it as "partial 16S ribosomal RNA". It matches the Rfam family "Bacterial small subunit ribosomal RNA", at positions 524 to 776 of the family's 1533-position model. The record is from RNAcentral.
UACGGAGGGUGCAAGCGUUGUUCGGAAUUGCUGGGCGUAAAGGGCUCGUAGGCGGCCAACUAAGUCAGACGUGAAAUCCCUCGGCUUAACCGGGGAACUGCGUCUGAUACUGGAUGGCUUGAAUCCGGGAGAGGGAUGCGGAAUUCCAGGUGUAGCGGUGAAAUGCGUAGAUAUCUGGAGGAACACCGGUGGCGAAGGCGGCAUCCUGGACCGGCAUUGACGCUGAGGCGCGAAAGCUAGGGGAGCAAACGGG